Molecule: ribosomal RNA, 480 nt
Filed under: uncultured soil bacterium
Lineage: Bacteria
Description: bacterial SSU rRNA
Rfam family: Bacterial small subunit ribosomal RNA
Source: RNAcentral
AGGACGAACGCUGGCGGCGUGCUUAACACAUGCAAGUCGAGCGGUAAGGCCCUUUCGGGGGUACACGAGCGGCGAACGGGUGAGUAACACGUGGGUGACCUGCCCUCAGCUCUGGGAUAAGCCCGGGAAACUGGGUCUAAUACUGGAUAUGACUCCACGGUGCAUGCCGUGGGGUGGAAAGCCUUGUGCGGCUGAGGAUGGGCCCGCGGCCUAUCAGCUUGUUGGUGGGGUGAUGGCCUACCAAGGCGACGACGGGUAGCCGGCCUGAGACGGGCGACCGGGCCACGACUGGGACUGAGACACGGCCCAGACUCCUACGGGAGGCAGCAGUGGGGAAUCUUGCGCAAGUGGGCGAAAGCCUGACGCAGCGACGCCGCGUGAGGAUGGACGGCGUUCGGUUCGUAACCUCUUCAGCUCCGACGAGCGAGAGUGACGGUAGGAGCGAGAAGAGCGACCGCAACGUACGCGCCAGCAGCCGAC